AUGCUGCGGAGCACCUUGCCGCUGCACCGGGUGACGGCGAAGAACAAGGAGGCGUGGAGGAAGGAGGCGUCGAAGAAGAAGGUCCGGAUCCUGGGCAGGGCGGUGCUGGUCAAGAGCGACGUGCUCGACCUCGGCGACUUCCACUCCUCCCUCCUCGACGGCGCCCAAAAGUUGCUCGACAAGGACGACGGCAUCUGCUUCCACCUCGUCAGCGCCACCCUGCCAGACCCCAGCAAGGGGAAUAGGGGAUGGGUGGGGAGGCCGGCGCACCUGCAGGAGAUGGUGGUGACCAACAAGUCGACAGCGGCGGGGGAGUCGGUCUUCACGGUGACGUUCGACUCCGACGAGUCGCAGGGCAUCCCCGGCGCCGUCAUCGUCAGGAACAGCCACCGCUCCGAGUUCCUCCUGAAGACGCUCACCAUCGACAGCGUCCCAGGCAAGAGAACCGUCGUCUUCGUCGCCAACUCCUGGAUCUACCCAAACGAUGACCGCGUCUUCUUCGCCAACGAUACCUACCUGCCCAGCAAAAUGCCCGCACCUUUGGUGCAAUACCGGCGAAACGAACUCAUCAAUCUCCAAGGCGACGGUACAGAAAGAGAGUAUAAGGAGCAUGACCGUGUGUACCGCUAUGACUACUACAAUGACCUGGGAGAGCCAGGCAGGGGCGAGAUGUAUGCACGGCCGAUCCUCGGCGGCAGCCAAGAACUUCCAUAUCCCCGCCGUGGCAGAACAGGCCGAGGCCCAACAAAAACAGACCCUAGAUCAGAGAGCAGAAUUCCUCAGUACAAGGUCAUGAACAUCUAUGUCCCACGCGAUGAGCGCAUUGGGCACCUCAAGUUGUCUGACUUCCUUGGGUACUCUCUCAAGGCCAUCACCGAUGCUGUUCUUCCGAUAAUUAGGACCUAUGUUGACAGUACACCCAAGGAGUUUGAUUCGUUUCAAGAUAUCUAUGAUCUCUAUGAUGGUCUUCUGAAAUUGCCCAUUAACCAACACUCAAAGGAGCUCAAGAAUAAAAUCCCCCUUCAUUUUAUUAAAAGUGUUUUACCAUCUGUUGGUGACGACUUCCUAAACUUGCCCCUUCCACAUGUUAUCAAAUCAGAUCCGUAUGCUUGGAAAUCAGAUGAGGAGUUUGCACGUGAGAUGCUUGCAGGCAUGAACCCGGUUUGCAUCAGACGUCUGACGGAGUUCCCUGUAAAAAGUACUCUGGAUCCAAGUGUGUACGGGGACCAGUCAAGCACAAUCACUGAAGAUCAAAUUCAGCAGAACCUGGAAGGCCUCACAGUGACACAGGCAAUGGAGAGUAACAGGCUCUUCAUUUUAGAUCACCACGAUAACUUCAUGCCAUUCCUUGACCGCAUCAACAAGUUGGAAGGCAACUUCAUCUACGCUUCAAGGACCCUGCUGUUCCUGAAGGCCGACGGUACGCUGAAGCCCUUGGCCAUUGAGCUGAGCCUGCCGCACCCUGAUGGGCUUCAGCAUGGCGCAGAGAGCAGGGUGUAUGUUCCGGCUGACGAACGAGUUGACGGCCAGAUCUGGCAGCUUGCCAAGGCUUACGCCUGCGUCAAUGACUCUGCUUGGCAUCAACUAAUCAGCCACUGGUUGAACACACAUGCGGUGAUGGAGCCGUUUGUGAUUGCGACGAACCGGCAACUGAGUGUGGUGCAUCCCGUGCACAAACUGCUGAGCCCACACUACCGCGACACGAUGAACAUCAACGCCAUGGCGCGGACGGUGCUCAUCAACGCUGGCGGCUUAUUUGAGCUGACUGUCUUCCCAGGAAAGUACGCGCUCGAGAUGUCUUCAGUAGUGUAUAAGAAGUGGAAACUCACCGAGCAGGGCCUCCCCGACGACCUAGUCAAAAGGGGCAUGGCUGUGCGAGACCCGUCGAGCCCAUACGGCAUCCGUCUGCUGCUAAAGGACUACCCGUACGCCGUGGACGGGCUGGCGAUCUGGUGGGCAAUCCAGCAAUGGGUGAAGGAGUACUUGGGCAUCUAUUACCCCAACGACUGCGUGCUCCAAGCUGACAAGGAGCUAAAGGAGUGGUGGAAAGAGGUCCGCGAAGUCGGGCACGGCGACCUCAAGGACGAGGACUGGUGGCCCAAGAUGGAGACCGUCGAGGAGCUGGCCAAGACAUGCAUCACCAUCAUCUGGGUGGCGUCGGCCCUGCACGCGUCAGUCAACUUUGGGCAGUACCAGUACGCGGGGUACCUCCCAAACCGGCCGACGGUCAGCCGGCAGAAGAUGCCGGUGCCCGGAACGGAGGAGUACACACAGCUGGAGCGUGGUGACGAGGAGGCCGACAGGGUUUUCAUCCACACCAUCAGCCAGUACUUGCAGAGCAUCCUCGGCCUCACCCUCAUCCAGACCCUGUCGAAGCACUCGUCGGACGAAGUGUACCUCGGGCAGCGCGACACGCCGGAGUGGACGUCGGAUGCCAAGGCACUGGAGUUGUUCGAAAGGUUCGGCACACAGCUGGUGGAGAUCGAGGAGCGGAUCACGGCGAUGAACAAGGAUCCGGCGCUCAAGAACCGGAACGGGCCGGUGAAUAUGCCGUACAUGCUGCUGUACCCCAACACGUCGGACCUCACCGGCGAUCGAGCCUGUGGGCUUACUGGCAUGGGCAUCCCCAACAGCGUCUCCAUCUGA
RNAcentral lists this ribosomal RNA (2646 nucleotides) under Triticum aestivum (bread wheat). Its description in RNAcentral is "partial small subunit ribosomal RNA". Lineage: Eukaryota; Viridiplantae; Streptophyta; Magnoliopsida; Poales; Poaceae. The record is from RNAcentral.